AAGCAGUCCAAUUGGUUCGCACUGUGCUGCAGUGGAUGGGAGCUGGGAGACACCUGUGCGACACAGGUGCUGCUGAUGGUGUGGGCGGGCGCUGCGAGCGGCUACAGAGGCCCGCUGGGAGUUCAGAGGGAGCGUUCCCCGAGCUGAGCGCACACGUGCUCUCCUGCCUGCGGUUUAUCUUCAACGUUUCUCCUGCCUGGAUAGCAACGGGAACCCAUCUCCAUCAUCCUGGGUGCCUUCACCAACGCAUCGUCUGCCUGGACACCAUCUCCAGCCCUUCUCCUGCUCGGCUAGGUUCUGUGGCCCUGAACUGCCAGAUGGGGUGGUUUUAACUGUGGAGAGGGGCGAGCACCGCUGUAUGGCUGGGCACCCAGAAACGUGGCCUUGCACACGUCGGGCACAGACACACUGCUCCUGGGAGGUCUCAUUCCCUUGUGAGAGGUAAAUGUGGGCCGGAAUAAAGGGAUGGGACGGAGCUGAC
This 481-nucleotide long non-coding RNA is filed under the name Gallus gallus (chicken). Its description in RNAcentral is "long non-coding RNA NONGGAT009413". The record is from RNAcentral. Lineage: Eukaryota; Metazoa; Chordata; Aves; Galliformes; Phasianidae.